CCUACGGGAGUCAGCAGUGGGGAAUAUUGGACAAUGGGGGGAACCCUGAUCCAGCGACGCCGCGUGAGUGAAGAAGUAUUUCGGUAUGUACAGCUCUAUCAGCAGGGAAGAAAGAAAUGACGGUACCUGAAUAAGAAGCACAGGCUAAAUAAGUGCCAGCAGCCGCGGUAAUACGUAGGGGGCAAGCGUUAUCCGGAUUUACUGGGUGUAAAGGGAGCGUAGACGGCGAGGCGAGUCUGAAGUGAAAGGCGGGGGACCAACCCCCGGACUGCGUUGGAAACUGUAUGGCUGGAGUGCAGGAGAGGUAAGUGGAAUUCCUGGUGUAGCGGUGAAAUGCGUAGAUAUUAGGAGGAACACCAGUGGCGAAGGCGGCUUACUGGACUGUAACUGACGUUGAGGCUCGAAAGCGUGGAGAGCAAACAGGAUUAGAUACCCGAGUAGUC
Molecule: ribosomal RNA, 443 nt
Filed under: uncultured bacterium
Lineage: Bacteria
Description: partial 16S ribosomal RNA
Rfam family: Bacterial small subunit ribosomal RNA
Source: RNAcentral